UGUCCGAUGGUGUAAUGGCAACACGUCUGAUUUUGGUUCAGAAGACUCCAGGUUCGAGUCCUGGUCGGACAA
Molecule: transfer RNA, 72 nt
Filed under: Thermoanaerobaculum aquaticum
Lineage: Bacteria; Pseudomonadati; Acidobacteriota; Thermoanaerobaculia; Thermoanaerobaculales; Thermoanaerobaculaceae
Also listed under: 5 other names
Description: tRNA-Gln
Rfam family: tRNA
About the family: Transfer RNA (tRNA) molecules are approximately 80 nucleotides in length. Their secondary structure includes four short double-helical elements and three loops (D, anti-codon, and T loops). Further hydrogen bonds mediate the characteristic L-shaped molecular structure. tRNAs have two regions of fundamental functional importance: the anti-codon, which is responsible for specific mRNA codon recognition, and the 3' end, to which the tRNAs corresponding amino acid is attached (by aminoacyl-tRNA synthetases). tRNAs cope with the degeneracy of the genetic code in two manners: having more than one tRNA (with a specific anti-codon) for a particular amino acid; and 'wobble' base-pairing, i.e. permitting non-standard base-pairing at the 3rd anti-codon position.
Source: RNAcentral